Molecule: ribosomal RNA, 327 nt
Filed under: uncultured eukaryote
Lineage: Eukaryota
Description: partial 18S ribosomal RNA
Rfam family: Eukaryotic small subunit ribosomal RNA
Source: RNAcentral
CCCUUAGAUGUUCUGGGCCGCGCGCGCGCUACACUGAUGCAUGCAACAAGUCUUUUCCUUGGCCGAGAGGCCUGGGCAAUCUUUGAAUAUGCAUCGUGAUGGGGAUAGACGAUUGCAAUUAUUCGUCUUCAACGAGGAAUUCCUAGUAAACGCAAGUCAUCAGCUUGCAUUGAUUACGUCCCUGCCCUUUGUACACACCGCCCGUCGCACCUACCGAUUGAAUGGUCCGGUGAAGGCUUCGGAGGCGGCUUUCUCAAUGUUUAUUCGGCGAGACUGCUGCCAAAGUUGAAUGAACCUUACCAUUUAGAGGAAGGUGAAGUCGUAACA